AAGUCGUAACAAGGUUUCCGUAGGUGAACCUGCGGAAGGAUCAUUAUCACGUAUCCACGUAUAAACCAUUGUGAACUGUUUUUUUUAACCUUUGUCAGCGGAUGAAUGAAGACUUUUUCUUUUGCGUUUAUUCGCAAGAGGGAGGUUGGAGUUUAUCACAGCUGCAAAGUGUAAUUUAACCUAUAUUAACCAUUUUAACCCAAUCUUUAUAACUUUUAUGAACUAACUUUUAUUUUAUACUCUUCGGAGAUAAAAUUCAUUACGAAACAAAGAACAACUCUUAGCAACGGAUAUCUUGGUUCUC
Molecule: unclassified non-coding RNA, 304 nt
Filed under: fungal sp.
Lineage: Eukaryota; Fungi
Description: partial internal transcribed spacer region
Rfam family: Eukaryotic small subunit ribosomal RNA (bases 1-46)
Source: RNAcentral